RNAcentral lists this ribosomal RNA (427 nucleotides) under uncultured prokaryote. Its description in RNAcentral is "bacterial SSU rRNA". It matches the Rfam family "Bacterial small subunit ribosomal RNA", at positions 355 to 774 of the family's 1533-position model. The record is from RNAcentral.
UGGGGAAUCUUCCGCAAUGGACGAAAGUCUGACGGAGCAACGCCGCGUGAGUGAAGAAGGUUUUCGGAUCGUAAAGCUCUGUUGUUUGAGACGAAUGUGCAGACUUUGAAUAAGGGUUUGUAAUGACGGUAUUAAACGAGAAAGCCACGGCUAACUACGUGCCAGCAGCCGCGGUAAUAAGUAGGUGGCAAGCGUUGUCCGGAAUUAUUGGGCGUAAAGGGGGCGCAGGUGGGAAUGUAAGUCAGUCUUAAAGGUGCGGGGCUCAACCCCGGGAGGGGAUUGAAACUACAUGUCUGGAGUGCAGGAGAGGAAAGUGGAAUUCCUAGUGUAGCGGUGAAAUGCGUAGAGAUUAGGAGGAACACCAGUGGCGAAGGCGACUUUCUGGACUGUAACUGACACUGAGGCUCGAAAGCCAGGGGAGCGAACG